Molecule: long non-coding RNA, 484 nt
Filed under: Capsicum annuum
Lineage: Eukaryota; Viridiplantae; Streptophyta; Magnoliopsida; Solanales; Solanaceae
Description: long non-coding RNA (CANN_LNC002799)
Source: RNAcentral
AACAACAACAACAACAACAGACCCAGUGUAUUCCCACCUAGUGGGGUCUGGGGGGGUAAGAUGUACGCAGUCCAUACCUCUACCUCUAAUGAAGUAGAAAGACUGUUUCCGAUAGACCCCCGGCUCAAGAUACGAGAUACCACACAAACACAUAGUAAAGCACAGAAGCAGAUUACAUAUCAUAAAUACGGCACCCAUAAGUAAUAUAAAAUAGAGAAAGCAAAGGAAAGCACACAGAUUCGUAAUAAAACAUGGAACACGGAAGACGGAAUCAUAACAGGAAUAAAACCCCCUCCAAGUAAUUCCCUACACUAGCGACCCAAACUGGCCCUAAUCCUCUGCCGAAAUUCGCGCCCUCCAGACCUUCCUAUCUAGGGUCAUGUCCUCGGUGAGCUGUAACUGUUCCAUGUCCCGCCUAAUCACCUCGCCCCAGUACUUCUUCGGCCUACCCCUACCCCGCCUAAAACCAUCCAACGCUAGCCUA